ACGCUCGACACCUACGGGAGGCUGCAGUGGGGAAUAUUGCACAAUGGGGGAAACCCGUGAUGCAGCGACGCCGCGUGAAGGAAGAAGUAUCUCGGUAUGUAAACUUCUAUCAGCAGGGAAGAAAGUGACGGUACCUGACUAAGAAGCCCCGGCUAACUACGUGCCUACAGCCGCGGUAAUCUGAGCGGGCUGGCAAGGC
RNAcentral lists this ribosomal RNA (199 nucleotides) under uncultured bacterium. RNAcentral describes it as "partial 16S ribosomal RNA". It matches the Rfam family "Bacterial small subunit ribosomal RNA", at positions 328 to 539 of the family's 1533-position model. The record is from RNAcentral.